Long non-coding RNA from Brassica oleracea var. oleracea, 603 nucleotides. RefSeq lists it as uncharacterized. NCBI's taxonomy places the organism in Eukaryota, Viridiplantae, Streptophyta, Magnoliopsida, Brassicales, Brassicaceae. The transcript has 3 exons. The record is from RefSeq and is a predicted model, not a curated record.
AGGUUUUACCUUCAAAAAUCAAUGAGUUUCGUGCUGUCCAGAUUGCCUAGCAAAUCCAUGGAAGUGUAUUGAGCGCAAAUCCUGAAGGGGGAAGGCAAACGGCUGUUCGGAACUUGAUGAUGGCCUCUUUGAAAGAUGAAUCUGCAGCUAUGUGAACUUCUUGGCGUAAAGGGUCACAUUUCCAUACCUUUACCGCAAAGGAGCAGGUUGACUCUUAGAGGAAGGGCAUUCUUCACUACUGACCAGAGGAAAGCUUUCAUUUUGGGUGAGAACUUUCCUGACCAAAUGUCCUUUAUCCACUGGAAAUCCUCAGCUUGAUGCAACAAUGACGACUCUGUGCAGGAGAUAGAAGCCGCGUGAUAUCCUGAUUUUUGUGGAAUAAAUACCCGAAGAUGUAGAGUGCUAGAUAUAAGAAUCUUAUGCUCCUUUCAGGCUUGGUUGUAGGCACAGAAUCUGAGAGAAAUACUCAGGCUGAUCAGGAGUUGGAAACAUGACAUGGUGUAGGUUGGGAUGGCAUUGAGUACUGAUUUGAGCAUUAAUUGUGAGCUUCCCAGCUCAAGAGAGUCUCUUUGGGGAUGAGCUGAUAGCCUUCUGUCGAAUUCU